UAUUUAAAGACGAUCGAUUUUCUAAGUAAGAAAUUGUUAAAGGAAAGACAUAUAAGAAAGACAGCUGAAGAAGCAUAUCAAAACAAGAUCCGUUCACUAAAUGUAACAACUAUUAAACUUCAAGACGAAUUGAACAGGUUACAUCGAAGACACCUUCUGUAAUGGAUUGGGUCAUAAACUUUCGAAGAAGGAUGCAGCCAAAAGAUGAAAGGUAAAUUUAACCCGAGUGAAAUUUGAACAGAGAGAUAUAAAUAAACACUGCAAAACAUU
This is a long non-coding RNA of Octopus bimaculoides (California two-spot octopus), 270 nucleotides long. The record is from RefSeq and is a predicted model, not a curated record. NCBI's taxonomy places the organism in Eukaryota, Metazoa, Mollusca, Cephalopoda, Octopoda, Octopodidae.